CCUACGGGAGGCUGCAGUGAGGAAUAUUGGUCAAUGGGCGCGAGCCUGAACCAGCCAAGUCGCGUGAGGGAGGACGGCCCUACGGGUUGUAAACCUCUUUUGCCGGGGAGCAACUUGCGCCACGUGUGUCGUCACUGACAGUACCCGCCGAAACAGCAUCGGCUAACUACGUGCCAGCAGCCGCGGUAAUACGUAGGAUGCGAGCGUUCUCCGGAUUUAUUGGGUUUAAAGGGUGCGUAGGCGGCUCGUUAAGUCAGUGGUAAAAUUGAGGGGCUAAACCCCUUCCCGCCAUUGAAACUGGCGUGCUGGAGUGGAAGAGAGGUAAGCGGAAUGCGUGGUGUAGCGGUGAAAUGCAUAGAUA
This 361-nucleotide ribosomal RNA is filed under the name uncultured bacterium. RNAcentral's name for it is "partial 16S ribosomal RNA". It matches the Rfam family "Bacterial small subunit ribosomal RNA", at positions 338 to 696 of the family's 1533-position model. The record is from RNAcentral.